RNAcentral lists this ribosomal RNA (329 nucleotides) under uncultured bacterium. RNAcentral describes it as "bacterial SSU rRNA". It matches the Rfam family "Bacterial small subunit ribosomal RNA", at positions 143 to 507 of the family's 1533-position model. The record is from RNAcentral.
UAGCCGUCGGGAAACUGAGAGUAAUACCGUAUGUGCCCCGUCGGGGGAAAGAUUUAUCGCCUUUGGAUCGGCCCGCGUUGGAUUAGGUAGUUGGUGGGUAAUGGCCUACCAAGCCGACGAUCCAUAGCUGGUUUGAGAGGAUGAUCAGCAACACUGGGACUGAGACACGGCCCAGACUCCUACGGGAGGCAGCAGGUGGGAAUCUUAGACAAUGGGGAAACCCUGAUCUAGCCAUGCCGCGUGGACGAUGAAGGCCUUAGGGUUGUAAAGUCCUUUCAGCUGGGAAGAUAAUGACGGUACCAGCAGAAGAAGCCCCGGCUAACUCCGUG